Molecule: ribosomal RNA, 390 nt
Filed under: Triticum aestivum (bread wheat)
Lineage: Eukaryota; Viridiplantae; Streptophyta; Magnoliopsida; Poales; Poaceae
Description: partial small subunit ribosomal RNA
Source: RNAcentral
AUGCUGAAAAGAAGACAUUUUCAUGUUGGGGAUACUGAAUCAUGCGUCCUAUGCACUCCUCAUGAGGAAGAGACCAUUGAUCACUUGAUCUUUAAUUGCCCUUUUAGCCAAACUUGCUGGUCCAAGAUUGGUAUCUCAUACAACUCUAGCAUCUCAAGGAUUGAGGCCACAAUCAGGGCAAAGGAAAUUUAUUCUGGUAGACUUUUCUUUGAGACCUUCACCAUUACUGCAUGGAAUAUUUGGAAGGAGAGAAAUAACUUCAUCUUCAAUCAAAUUACUCCUUCAUAUAGAGCUUGGCUUGAGAGGACUAAGGCUGACCUUACCUGGCUUAGAUACAGAGUGUCCUCUGAUCUCAGUGAUUAUAUCACUUCUUUUGUAAAUUCACUUUAG